This 607-nucleotide long non-coding RNA is filed under the name Panax ginseng (ginseng). RNAcentral describes it as "long non-coding RNA (PGIN_LNC003410)". Lineage: Eukaryota; Viridiplantae; Streptophyta; Magnoliopsida; Apiales; Araliaceae. The record is from RNAcentral.
AGAUAACAACGCUUCGGGUACACGGAAACAUAUUGCUACGGUAGCGUUGAAUCAGGCAAGUUUUUCGUUUUCGUUUGUAUUACAUGAACUUGAUAUUGUUUAUGUGCAAUCAUUGUUGUGUUAUGAUGCGAUUGUUAGGAAUAUGUUGAAAUAUAUGUUGGGUUGCAAUAUUAUAUGAAUUGUUUUAGUCAAGUUAUGAUUAAAAGUCAAUUGAGUUACGGACACUCAAUUUAUUUGUGAUAUGUGAAAUGAGAUAUGUGAGAAAUGUUAAAAUUGGCAUCACAUGAAGUAUGAUCUAAAUAUAAUAUUAUGAUGAAAUUGAAAGCUCGCAUGUGAAAAUGCAUAUAAUGAAUAUAUUGAGCAUAUGUAGAUGCACUAGACAAGUAUUAUGAUGCAUAUAUAGAAUGUAUAGCAUGAGCAACAUGAUGCAUAAUUGAAAUGCAUAGUAGAUAUGAAUGUGAUGCAUGAAAACGUUAGACUUGUUGGGCCGUCGCGCUCAUUCUUGCAAAUAAAUUUUAUUUGCAGUUAAAUGAAGAGAUUUCUGAAGAACAUGGCAGAAGAAUGGAAGCGCGCAUAGAAAACUAUAAACUAUUGUUUUUAUUAUUAU